This 508-nucleotide long non-coding RNA is filed under the name Mytilus galloprovincialis (Mediterranean mussel). The record is from RNAcentral. Lineage: Eukaryota; Metazoa; Mollusca; Bivalvia; Mytilida; Mytilidae.
UUUUUUCACUAAACAAAACUUAUAAGUUUAUACGAGCCUGGCGAAUAAAACAAAGAUGUCUAUAUAUGUUUAUUUCGAGUCUAACCAUAAGAGUAAUGUUUGGUCCUUAGGGUUUCCUAUUUUAAACCCUAAGAACACGUGCUGGUUGGACUAGUUUUAUUCACCAAUCAAAAUGCUUUUUAGAAUAAUUGGUUUAAUAAGAACAGUUUCUUUUUUUUUAAUUUCUUAAUACCUUGUUUUUUACUUCCAUUAGGGAAAUCCGAUUAUUUGGUUAGAAAUAAUUCAAGUUGAACAAUAGAAAAGAAUUAGAUGUAUUUGCUAAAGGAAAUACUUCUAAGAGUUUAAGCUGCCGAACCUUUUUUUGUAUCGCUAAGUGUCAAAUAGGAAGAAAUUCACACCAAAUACUUAUAUAUUAAAAGUAACAUAACAUCAUAGAAUUUCCAAUUAUAUCUUUUUAUACAAAAAAGCUUUAUACAAGACUUAUUCAUUUUCUACAAUUACAUGGGAA